GCGCGCUUCUCUGAGCGCUAGGCGGGACCGUCCACUUGCAGGAAUCCGGUGAGACUCGUCCGGCAGCGUUAGGUGGUAACCAGCUUCAAUAAUGACUGUAUUAAUGCAUCAUCCGCUGAUUUUGAGUGUCAGGUGCUGGGCACUGGACUAGUACCUAGCAGUACCUUGGGGACUGAGGCGCGACUUGCCCAGAAAGAGCCCGGCUAGCAUUCAGUAAAUGUUGCAUUCUCGAAUGGAAAUGCUUUGGUGGAGGAGCGGAGUGGCCUGUGGCCGGCCCUUGCCCGCAGGGUUAAGAGAUAUGUAGUGGUGCCCAUGGAGAUGUGGUGCUCAAACCCCUCUUUGCGGAGGGACUUACUACCCCAGCUGCGGUGAGAGUUUCAGUGGAACAGCUCCCAGCUUACCGUCCUUUUGGGAGCGCAUCAGCUACAGCGGGCCGCCUCAUCAAAGGCAUGUCCUUCUCAGGAAGACUCACAGCUAAUGAAGACUGGAGGAGAGAUAUUAAAGGACCAACCAUUUGCACCCAAAGUGGAACAAUUCUGCUGAGUCAUUUCUGCUCCAGAACUCCUUGUGGCUGCGGCUAUCAAGCUUGUGUCACAGCUCAAACUUCUCCCUCCACCAGAUCCCACUUUCUCCCCUCCUUCCCACCAGUGUGAUCUUGAGGGCACACCCUGAACAUUAAACUCUGUCUCGGACACUGCUUCCUGCA
Bubalus bubalis (water buffalo) is the source of this 706-nucleotide long non-coding RNA. RefSeq lists it as uncharacterized. The record is from RefSeq and is a predicted model, not a curated record. The transcript is spliced from 2 exons. NCBI's taxonomy places the organism in Eukaryota, Metazoa, Chordata, Mammalia, Artiodactyla, Bovidae.